AGAGUUUGAAAAUGGCUCAGAAUCAACGCUGGCGGCGUGCCUCAGACAUGCAAGUCGAACGAUUAAAGCCCUCUUCGGACGGUGUAUAAAGUGGCGCACGGGUGAGUAACACGUAAGUAAUCUACCCUCGGGUGGGGAAUAACAACCGGAAACGGUUGCUAAUACCGCAUAAUGCAGCGGCUCCUUAUGGAGACAGUUGUUAAAGGAUUUAUUCGCCUGAGGAGGAGCUUGCGGCAAAUUAGCUAGUUGGUAAGGUAAUGGCUUACCAAGGCUACAAUCUGUAGCCGGUCUAUUUUUUCGGUCGGUCACACUGACACUGAAUAACGGGUCAGACUCCUAC
This 340-nucleotide ribosomal RNA is filed under the name uncultured bacterium. RNAcentral's name for it is "bacterial SSU rRNA". It matches the Rfam family "Bacterial small subunit ribosomal RNA", at positions 8 to 342 of the family's 1533-position model. The record is from RNAcentral.